Peromyscus eremicus (cactus mouse) is the source of this 1042-nucleotide long non-coding RNA. RefSeq lists it as uncharacterized. The transcript is spliced from 5 exons. The record is from RefSeq and is a predicted model, not a curated record. Lineage: Eukaryota; Metazoa; Chordata; Mammalia; Rodentia; Cricetidae.
AGGUAAACAAGACAGCAGAUCGAUCACAAACCACGUUUUCAAAUAGUUCAUCCUUAUGAGCUUUGGGUCAGAAAUGACCUCUCCACCAGGUCCCACAAAAGUUGUGUGAAAAUUUAAAACGAUGUCCACCAGAAAAAUAACGUCCACCACACUGUCCAGCACCAGCCAGGCUAUAUUGUUCUGCUUUGUUUUGAAGGAAACGUUAUAAGGAACCAUGAUGGCGGUGUAGAAGAAUUGUCCAGAAGUUUGCUCAAAGGACCCUAUGCCAGUCCAACUACUCCACAAGUUGACCUGAUUACUAGUCCAUCUGCUUGGCUCUCCAGUGGUCAACCUUGACCCACAGCAACAUGUCUCAGGUGCUCCUGUUCAUGCACUGAGCUAGUCUCCAAACAACUCCUUCAAAGUGGAACCUGAAGCUGGUCAAAGACUGAAGGGGCGAGACCUGGGCCUACAAGAGACUAGUGCCAGCCAAAUCACAGAGUACAGCUCACCUCGACGGAAACCAAACGGGUAUGACUGAUGUCUCAGCAGUUCGCGGAUGUUACUUAGACAUGAUCGAUAUGGGGUAAUACGAACAGACAGUUGCGCAUGGCGAGCAGAAUGCUUGCACUGGUUUUAUAUCAGAGUGGUAUUGGUAUCAUCACAUGAGUUGGGAGACUUCCCUCUGUUUCUGCAUUCUGGAAGGGACUUGAACAUGCAAGUCUUGUGCAGGCAAUCACAGGCGUUGUGAGUUCAUGUGGACACCAGCUAUGCUACGUCCAGAAGACAGCACUUCCCAGGCCUCCUCCCCACCCUCCAGCUCUUGUGUUCUUUUUGCCUCCUCUUUCAUAAUGUUCCUUGAGCCUUGAUGGUUUGGGAGGCUGAUAAAGAUGGCCCAUUUAGGGCUGAGCAUGAGGGGGACAUUUUUAGGAAGGGGAGGGGGACUAAGGGCAGCAAUGAUCAUAUUUCACUAUAUACGUGUGUGAAAUCCUGAAGAAGGAAAAAGAAAUAUCUUUCUUCAGCAUUUAUUAGGGUCUACUGAUAAAACUAUUCACACUUUCUA